AAAUAGAUACCCCAGGUAGUCCACGCCGUAAACGAUGAGUGCUAAGUGUUAGAGGGUUUCCGCCCUUUAGUGCUGCAGCAAACGCAUUAAGCACUCCGCCUGGGGAGUACGGCCGCAAGGCUGAAACACAAAGGAAUUGACGGGGACCCGCACAAGCGGUGGAGCAUGUGGUUUAAUUCGAAGCAACGCGAAGAACCUUACCAGGUCUUGACAUCCUCUGACCAUCCUAGAGAUAGGACCUUCCCCUUCGGGGGACAGAGUGACAGGUGGUGCAUGGUUGUCGUCAGCUCGUGUCGUGAGAUGUUGGGUUAAGUCCCGCAACGAGCGCAACCCUUGUCCUUAGUUGCCAGCAUUCAGUUGGGCACUCUAAGGAGACUGCCGGUGACAAACCGGAGGAAGGUGGGGAUGACGUCAAAUCAUCAUGCCCCUUAUGACCUGGGCUACACACGUGCUACAAUGGAUGGUACAAAGGGCUGCGAAGCCGCGAGGUGGAGCCAAUCCCAUAAAACCAUUCUCAGUUCGGAUUGCAGG
Molecule: ribosomal RNA, 531 nt
Filed under: uncultured bacterium
Lineage: Bacteria
Description: bacterial SSU rRNA
Rfam family: Bacterial small subunit ribosomal RNA
Source: RNAcentral